RNAcentral lists this unclassified non-coding RNA (150 nucleotides) under uncultured Penidiella. RNAcentral describes it as "sequence contains ITS2". Lineage: Eukaryota; Fungi; Ascomycota; Dothideomycetes; Capnodiales. The record is from RNAcentral.
CACCAAUCAAGCCUGGCUUGGUAUUGGGUGUCGGGCCUGCAACCAGGCCCGCGCCCCAAAUUCGCCGGCGGGGCGACCCGGAUCUCAGCGUUGUGGCAAGCAAAUUCGCUGGCGAGAGGGGGCGUCCGUGCCGUUAAAACCUCCAUCACA